This 86-nucleotide transfer RNA is filed under the name Porolithon onkodes. RNAcentral's name for it is "tRNA-Leu". It matches the Rfam family "tRNA". Rfam says of the family: Transfer RNA (tRNA) molecules are approximately 80 nucleotides in length. Their secondary structure includes four short double-helical elements and three loops (D, anti-codon, and T loops). The record is from RNAcentral. Lineage: Eukaryota; Rhodophyta; Florideophyceae; Corallinales; Porolithaceae.
ACUCGCUUGGUGAAAUUGGUAAACACGACGGAUUUAAAAUUCGUUCUUUAUCUUAAGAGUUACUGGUUCAAGUCCAGUAGCGAGUA